AAUGAACGCUGGCGGCAGGCCUAACACAUGCAAGUCGAACGGAUGAAGGGAGCUUGCUCCUGGAUUCAGCGGCGGACGGGUGAGUAAUGCCUAGGAAGCUGCCUGGUAGUGGGGGAUAACGUCCGGAAACGGGCGCUAAUACCUCAUACGUAAAGAGGCAGAAAGUGGGGGUUCUUCGGCGCCGACGCUGUCAGAUGAGCCUAGGUCGGAUUAGCUAGUUGGUGGGGUAAAGGCCUACCAAGGCGACGAUCCGUAACUGGUCUGAGAGGAUGAUCAGUCACAUUGGAACUGAGAAACGGCCCAGACACCGACGCGAGGCAGCAGUGGGGAAUACUAGACGAUGGGCGAAAGCCUGAUCCAGCAAUGCCGCGUGUGUGAAGAAGGUCUUCGGAUUGUAAAGCACUGUAAGUUGGGAGGAAGGGCAGUAAGUUAAUACCUGGCUGUUUUGACGUUACCAACAGAAUAAGCCCCGGCUAACUUCGUG
This 484-nucleotide ribosomal RNA is filed under the name uncultured bacterium. RNAcentral describes it as "partial 16S ribosomal RNA". It matches the Rfam family "Bacterial small subunit ribosomal RNA", at positions 29 to 507 of the family's 1533-position model. The record is from RNAcentral.